RNAcentral lists this transfer RNA (63 nucleotides) under Temnoscheila virescens. Its description in RNAcentral is "tRNA-His". Lineage: Eukaryota; Metazoa; Arthropoda; Insecta; Coleoptera; Trogossitidae. The record is from RNAcentral.
AUUUAAAUAGUUUAAUAAAAAUAUUGAUCUGUGGAGUCAAAGACGUAGAUAUUACUUUAAAUA